RNAcentral lists this unclassified non-coding RNA (165 nucleotides) under uncultured Cortinarius. RNAcentral describes it as "sequence contains ITS1". Lineage: Eukaryota; Fungi; Basidiomycota; Agaricomycetes; Agaricales; Cortinariaceae. The record is from RNAcentral.
UUGAAAUAAACCUGAUGGGUUGUUGCUGGUUCUCUAGGGAGCAUGUGCACGCCUUGUCAUCUUUAUAUCUCCACCUGUGCACCUUUUGUAGGCCUUCCAGGUCUAUGUUGCUUUUUCAUUUACCCCAAUGUAUGUUAAUAGAAUGUUGUGACUAUAAAAUCUAUA